UUCCAGCCUGACCCAGUUUCGGGGGCAGGGCCAGUCAGAGAGAGAGUGCUGGGCCCAGAUGGCAGCUGGCCCACCGUACCUCCACUUGCCCGGAUGUAAUGGUGGUAGACUCUCCAUCCUAGAGACCCUUCUUCCAUCAUCUCCUUUCUUGUGAGCUGAUUCUCCAGCACUGGAUCAGAGUAAGAGAAGAAGGAAAUGAUGUGCUUCUCAAUCGUUUGCAAGAAGAGCUUUUGCAAAGCCCUCUGUCCCUGACUUCCACCGUUUACCAGCUUCCUCACCUUCCAGCUGCAGAGCCCCACCCAAGUCCGACUCUAACCCGCAUGUUUCCGUGGAAGACUCUGCUGAAGAUUUUCCCAUCUUCUAAGAAAAUGAUCUGGUCACAAAGUGCUAAGUACUGAAGAGUCAGAAGAAAUAAGGUGUUCAGUAAGCAUACAAAAAGAUAUUCAACUUCAUCAUUCAACAGGAAAAUACAAACUUAAAUCAUAAUAAAAUAUUAUUUUAUA
Long non-coding RNA from Canis lupus familiaris (dog), 503 nucleotides. RefSeq lists it as uncharacterized. The record is from RefSeq and is a predicted model, not a curated record. NCBI's taxonomy places the organism in Eukaryota, Metazoa, Chordata, Mammalia, Carnivora, Canidae. The transcript is spliced from 2 exons.